CACGUUAUGGUGGGCACUCUAAGGAGACUGCCGGUGCAACCGGAGGAAGGUGGGGAUGACGUCAAGUCAUCAUGGCCCUUACGGCCUGGGCUACACACGUGCUACAAUGGUCGGUACAAAGGGUUGCCAAGCCGCGAGGUGGAGCUAAUCCCAUAAAACCGAUCGUAGUCCGGAUCGCAGUCUGCAACUCGACUGCGUGAAGUCGGAAUCGCUAGUAAUCGUGAAUCAGAAUGUCACGGUGAAUACGUUCCCGGGCCUU
This 259-nucleotide ribosomal RNA is filed under the name uncultured Pseudomonas sp. RNAcentral describes it as "partial 16S ribosomal RNA". It matches the Rfam family "Bacterial small subunit ribosomal RNA", at positions 1122 to 1382 of the family's 1533-position model. The record is from RNAcentral. Lineage: Bacteria; Pseudomonadati; Pseudomonadota; Gammaproteobacteria; Pseudomonadales; Pseudomonadaceae.